CUAUACCAUUUGUUAGCGCUGACUUCCCCUUAAAGCAUCAAAUUAAUCUUUAUUCUCACAAAAUUCUUUAUUUUUAGUCCUUUUUGCUGAUAUUUUUGUCCAUCUUACAUCUGCUGAUUAGUUUGCAUGAUUGGAUUUCUGGGGAUGCAGAUCAUUUCACAUCAGUGUAGGGUUUAGAUCUUUCUUUGACAACAACAGAAGAUGUUUGAAGUCAGGAACAUGGACUCUAUAUGUGUUCAGUCGUCAUGUCCCCAUAUUGUUUUAGGCUGUGAAAGACUGAGUGUGUUUCAGGUGAUGUCCCCAUAUUGUCUGACCCAACGACUGUAGAGUGUGUGUUACAUGUCCUCAUAUUGUUGGGUAGCAGAUGAUGUACAGUGUUAGCAGUUUCUAUGGAGUUUGGCAUAAUGCGCCUAGAUCCUCCUGUGAAUUACGUUCACCGAAACAAGUAUGAUCAUUUGUUCAUUAAUUUGUCAGGAUUUAUAGUACAGAAUAUGUCUGACACUGUAUUGUUGCGUUUUGUUGCAGACACCAAGUGUUCAGAUCCUGACUCAACCUUCUGCAGACCAAGAAGUGAGCAAGAGAUCCACUUCAUCCUUCCAACAGACACCAAGUGUUCAGAUCCUGACUCAACUUUCUGCAGACCAAGAAGUGAGCAUGAGAUCCACUUCAUCCUUCCAACAGGUAAUUACACAUUAAUGUAUUCUAUUUGGAAUUAAGUCUAUGUCUCUGUUGGCUCCAAUGUAUAUAUGAAAUGCCCUUUCACUGUAUUAAAACAAUCAGUUUGUGUGAAAUGUUCACGAUAUCGGUGUUAGCAUUACUUGUUUGUGAAUAGCUGAGCAGAGAGAAAUUGGCUAUACCAUUUGUUAGCUCUAACUUCCCCUUAAAGCAUCUAAUUAAUCUUUAUUCUCACAAAAUUCUUCAUUUUUAGUCCUUUUUGCUAAUGUUUUUGUCCAUGUUAGAUCUGCUGAUCAGUUUACAUGAUUGGAUUUCUGGGGAUGCAGAUCAUUUCACAUCAGUGUAGGGUUUAGAUCUUUCUUUGACAACAACAGAAGAUGUUUGAAGUCAGGAACAUGGACUCUAUAUGUGUUCAGUCGUCAUGUCCCCAUAUUGUUUUAGGCUGUGAAAGACUUGAGUGUGUUUCAGGUGAUGUCCCCAUAUUGUCUGACCCAACGACUGUAGAGUGUGUGUUACAUGUCCUCAUAUUGUUAUAGGCUGUGAAUGACUGAGUGUGUUUCAGGUGAUGUCCCCAUAUUGUCUGACCCAACGACUGUAGAGAGUGUGUACCAAGUCCUCAUAUUGUUAUAGGCUCUGAAAGACUCAGUGUGUUUCAGGUGAUGUCCCCAUAUUGUCUGACCCAACGACUGUAGAGUGUGUGUUACAUGUCCUCAUAUUGUUGGGUAGCAGAUGAUGUACAGUGUUAGCAGUUUCUAUAGAGUUUGGCAUAAUGCGCCUAGAUCCUCCUGUGAAUUACGUUCACCGAAACGAGUAUGAUCAUUCGUUCAUUAAUUUGUCAGGAUUUAUAGUACAGAAUAUGUCUGACACUGUAUUUUUGUGUUUUGUUGCAGACACCAAGUGUUCAGAUCCUGACUCAACCUUCUGUAGACCAAGAAGCGAGCGAGAGAUCCACUUCAUCCUUCCAACAGGUAAUUACACAUUAAUUUGUUCCAUUUGGAAUUAAGUAGAUGUCUCAUUUGGCUCCAUUGCAUACAUGAAAUGCCCCUUCACUGUAUUAAAACAAUCAGUUUGUGUGAAAUGUUCACAAUAUCAAUAUUAACAUCACCUGUUUUUGAAUAGCGUAGCAGAAAGAAAUUGGCUAUACCAUUUGUUAGCUCUAACUUCCCCUUAAAGCAUCAAAUUAAUCUUUAUUCUCACAAAAUUCUUUAUUUUUAGUCCUUUUUGCUGAUAUUUUUGUCCAUCUUACAUCUGCUGAUUAGUUUGCAUGAUUGGAUUUCUGGGGAUGCAGAUCAUUUCACAUCAGUGUAGGGUUUAGAUCUUUCUUUGACAACAACAGAAGAUGUUUGAAGUCAGGAACAUGGACUCUAUAUGUGUUCAGUCGUCAUGUCCCCAUAUUGUUUUAGGCUGUGAAAGACUUGAGUGUGUUUCAGUUGAUGUCCCCAUAUUGUCUGACCCAACGACUGUAGAGAGUGUGUACCAUGUCCCCAUAUUGUUAUAGGCUGUGAAAGACUGAGUGUGUUUCAGUUGAUGUCCCCAUAUUGUCUGACCCAACGACUGUAGAGAGUGUGUACCAUGUCCUCAUAUUGUUAUAGGCUGUGAAAGACUGAGUGUGUUUCAGGUGAUGUCCCCAUAUUGUCUGACCCAUCGACUGUAGAGAGUGUGUACCAUGUCCUCAUAUUGUUAUAGGCUGUGAAAGACUGAGUGUGUUUCAGGUGAUGUCCCCAUAUUGUCUGACCCAACGACUGUAGAGAGUGUGUACCAUGUCCUCAUAUUGUUAUAGGCUCUGAAAGACUGAGUGUGUUUCAGGUGAUGUCCCCAUAUUGUCCGACCCAACGACUGUAGAGUGUGUGUUACAUGUCCUCAUAUUGUUGGGUAGCAGAUGAUGAACAGUGUUAGCAGUUUCUAUAGAGUUUGGCAUAAUGCGCAUAGAUCAUACUGUGAAUUAUGUUCACUGAAGCAAGUAUGAUCAUUUGUCUAUUAAUUAGUCAGGAUUUAUAGUAGAGAAUAUGUCUGACUCUGUAUUGUUGUGUUUUGUUGCAGACAUCAAGCGUUCAGAUCCUUACUCAACUUUCUGCAGACCAAGAUAUGAGCAAGAGAUCCACUUCAUCUUUCCAACAGGUAAUUACACAUUAAUUUAUUCUAUUUGGAAUUAAGUAGAUAUCUCAGUUGGCCCCCGUGCAUACAUGAAAUGCCCUUUCACUGUAUCGAAACAAUCAGUUUUUUUUUUUAAAUGUUCACAAUAUCAUCGAUAUCACCAUUGGAUUUCUGGGGAAGUAGAUCAAUUUACAUCAGUGUAGGGUUUAGAGCUUUCUUUGACAACAACAGAAGAAGUUAGAACCACUAUUAUUUCUAUUUUUGCUAUAAUUAAUUGCAUCAUAAUUUUUAGUUACAGUUCUGUGUAAUCUCAAACAAAUAAUGAAUCUCUGUCAUUUCAAUUAAGGUCAGCCAGACCACUGGAGGUGUCUCCUUCCACCAGACAGCUACUGCAAGGCAAGUAAGACAGCUGCCUUCUUCUCCUUCAUUCAAAAAUGUUAUGUUCUUUUACUGAGGAUAUUCACUAUUUGAGGAAAUAUUGUAUAAACUUAACUAGGACUAAGGUUUUUUACAUUUAAUUCUUGAUAUGGACAGUCAAGAGCAAGCCGCCAUCUGCAAAAUCUAAAGCGGCAUCAUGCUCGGUGUGAGGAACGUUACGAUGAGGCCAAGAAAAAGAUAUUUGAGAGAGAGAGGCAGAUGAUUUUGAGUCUGUUAACCAGAAUGAAUAAUUCUGUGAGUACGCAAAUAGGUCAUACGGUCAUAUGCAAAUUAAUUCUUUUCAAGGUAUUCAUUUUACAAGAACCUCCAUGGGCCUAGCAGAUUUUUUCUCAUUCACUUGUUGUUUCCAGUUCAUGCACCAUGUUUGAAAGACAAAGUUGCAACAGAUUUUUUCUCUCAAAAUAUUAGUUAUACUUCUAUGCGAUAGGUGAGUCAUAGUAACGAAAAUUUUCAUGCUAUGCAUUGUUCUCCUUUAUAUCAUACACCAUCAACAUCAAAUCGCACACUGAGAUGUGUUGUGGUUUAGGGAUUAUUGUCUUAAUAGUAUGUCAUCAUAGGUAGGUAUGUGAGGCAAAAUAUUUUCAAAGUGUUAUUUAAAUCAUUUAAACAUUUCCACUUUAAUAUAAGUGGGGUGAAAAUGUCUAUUCAGUCAAUUGUAUUUACAGUAUUAAUAAUGGUUUUAAAGGUUGAACAUCCCUUGGUCGAUGAUGGUGGAUUUCAUGAUGGAAACUCUGCAAGCUUAAGUGACCAGGUAAUGUAUACGACACAGUAGUGAAUGUAUUAGGAAUCCAAUGCAAUUCAAUUUCAUGUUUUUAAUGACUCAUCUCUUACAAGUCAUCACUUACAAUAUGUGAUGGUACUGUAUGGGGAAUGAUAACCUGGCUUUUUUCUCCUUUUUCCUUCAGAUCUCUACUGAUGAAUCUUCAGAUUGUACAGAUUAUGAAGAUAUUGACUAUGUUCCAGACUCAGGUGGCAAUUCCUCAGACACAAGUCUCUGUAGUAACGAACUGAGAAUCACAGAAUCUCUUGCUCCCAAAAAUUGUUCAAGGACAUGCCAGUGGGGAUAGCUACAGUACACAGUGGGGAGAGAAACCUACAAGUUUAAGUUUGUCACUGAGAAGCAGCAGUCAUAGCACUUCAGUGAUGAGUUGCAGUAACAAUUCCCUGGAGGCAAGAUUUCUGUAUUUUCUGUUCUGUUUCAAUUGACAUAUUUUGCCAGCAAUUAAAAAAGAAAAAAUGGCAGAAAGUGUUCCAUGUCUUUAUUCACAUGAACAUGUACUACAAAAUUUAUAAAUGCAAUACAAUAAGACUUAAAAAGCAGACUGACCACAUUUUUUAGCUAUGUCUCAUUUUAAGUCUCUACAAAGCUUAGUUUUACUGUGUUGUAUUAACAUGUGAAUAUCUGACAUUUCUGUCAGAGGUUACCUGACUGAUGAGCAUGACUAUUGUACACCUGUGUCUAUUAUAUAGGUAUUUCAAACAUAUCCAACAGGAGCCAAGGUAAUAAUACAGACCCUACCCUUUCCUAGUCUUUAUAAGUCAUGUAUACAUGAAAAUUUUGUGUGUAUCCAUGGGUUUCACAAUUCACCUAAACAUGAAAUAUC
RNAcentral lists this long non-coding RNA (4811 nucleotides) under Sparus aurata (gilthead seabream). RNAcentral describes it as "lncRNA (ENSSAUG00010002287.1)". The record is from RNAcentral. Lineage: Eukaryota; Metazoa; Chordata; Actinopteri; Spariformes; Sparidae.